This is a long non-coding RNA of Spea bombifrons (plains spadefoot toad), 305 nucleotides long. RefSeq lists it as uncharacterized. Lineage: Eukaryota; Metazoa; Chordata; Amphibia; Anura; Pelobatidae. The transcript is spliced from 3 exons. The record is from RefSeq and is a predicted model, not a curated record.
UUGCAGUAGACUGGACUUAUGCGUAUAACUGCACCCUUUGUAGAGUGAAGAGUAUGAAGUGUUUUGACAAGGAGACAUGCUUUCCUGUGAAGCAGGGACUUCGCUGGCCUCUGAAUCUCAUUUUUAUGAGCUGCGCCAUCUCCACAUUAGUGGGAGUUUUCACCUGUUGCUAUGAGUUCAGAAAUCUGCCGCCAGGCGUGUCCCCGACGCACUGAGGGCCCCGGCUCCCCGGGCAUGGACACGGCUCCACGUACUUACUGCCAAGCCUGCGUGUCUACUGUGUAUUGUCAAUAAAGCUUUCAAAC